Molecule: ribosomal RNA, 458 nt
Filed under: uncultured bacterium
Lineage: Bacteria
Description: bacterial SSU rRNA
Rfam family: Bacterial small subunit ribosomal RNA
Source: RNAcentral
CGAUAUCCGAGUUUGAUCAUGGCUCAGAACGAACGCUGGCGGCAUGCCUAACACAUGCAAGUCGAACGAAGGCUUCGGCCUUAGUGGCGCACGGGUGCGUAACGCGUGGGAAUCUGCCCUUGGGUUCGGAAUAACUCAGAGAAAUUUGAGCUAAUACCGGAUGAUGACGUAAGUCCAAAGAUUUAUCGCCCAAGGAUGAGCCCGCGUAAGAUUAGCUAGUUGGUGGGUAAAGGCCUACCAAGGCGACGAUCUUUAGCUGGUCUGAGAGGAUGAUCAGCCACACUGGGACUGAGACACGGCCCAGACUCCUACGGGAGGCAGCAGUGGGGAAUAUUGGACAAUGGGCGAAAGCCUGAUCCAGCAAUGCCGCGUGAGUGAUGAAGGCCUUAGGGUGUAAAGCUCUUUUACCAGGGAUGAUAAUGACAGUACCUGGAGAAUAAGCUCCGGCUAACUCCGUG